CAAGGAAUCUUCGGCACUGGGCGCAAGCCUGACCGAGCAACGCCGCGUGGAGGAUGACGGCUUUCGGGUUGUAAACUCCUUUGAGGUGGGAUGAUAUGGACCGUACCACCAGAACAAGCCCCGGCUAACUCUGUGCCAGCAGCCGCGGUAAGACAGAGGGGGCAAGCGUUGUCCGGAGUGACUGGGCGUACAGCGCGCGCAGGCGGUUGGUGACGUGCCGUGUCACAGCCCUGAGCUCAACUCAGGGUGGCCACGGUAGACGCACCGGCUGGAGGCAGGGAGAGGGAUGUGGAAUACCCGAUGGAGCGGUGAAAUGCGUAGAGAUCGGGUGGAACACCAGUGGCGAAGGCGGCAUCCUGGCCCUGACCUGACGCUGAGGCGCGAGAGCGUGGGGAGCAAACGG
Molecule: ribosomal RNA, 403 nt
Filed under: uncultured bacterium
Lineage: Bacteria
Description: bacterial SSU rRNA
Rfam family: Bacterial small subunit ribosomal RNA
Source: RNAcentral